AAUAGAUACCCCGGUAGUCCACGCCGUAAACGAUGAGUGCUAAGUGUUAGAGGGUUUCCGCCCUUUAGUGCUGCAGCUAACGCACUAAGCACUCCGCCUGGGGAGUACGGUCGCAAGACUGAAACUCAAAGGAAUUGACGGGGGCCCGCACAAGCGGUGGAGCAUGUGGUUUAAUUCGAAGCAACGCGAAGAACCUUACCAGGUCUUGACAUCCCACUGACCGGUAUAGAGAUAUACCUUUCCCUUCGGGGACAGUGGUGACAGGUGGUGCAUGGUUGUCGUCAGCUCGUGUCGUGAGAUGUUGGGUUAAGUCCCGCAACGAGCGCAACCCUUGAUCUUAGUUGCCAGCAUUUAGUUGGGCACUCUAAGGUGACUGCCGGUGACAAACCGGAGGAAGGUGGGGAUGACGUCAAAUCAUCAUGCCCCUUAUGACCUGGGCUACACACGUGCUACAAUGGAUGGUACAAAGGGCUGCAAGACUGCGAAGUCAAGCCAAUCCCAUAAAACCAUUCUCAGUUCAGAUUGC
Molecule: ribosomal RNA, 526 nt
Filed under: uncultured bacterium
Lineage: Bacteria
Description: bacterial SSU rRNA
Rfam family: Bacterial small subunit ribosomal RNA
Source: RNAcentral